CCUACGGGUGGCAGCAGUGGGGGAUAUUGCACAAUGGGGGGAACCCUGAUGCAGCGACGCCGCGUGGGUGAAGGAGCGUUUCGGCGCGUAAAGCCCUAUCGGCAGGGAAGAAGAUGACGGUACCUGGCCAAGAAGCCCCGGCUAACUACGUGCCAGCAGCCGCGGUAAUACGUAGGGGGCAAGCGUUAUCCGGAUUUACUGGGUGUAAAGGGGGCGCAGACGGCAAUGCAGGCCAGGAGGGAAAGCCCGGGUCCCAAGCCCGGAACUGCUCUUGGAACUGCAUGGCUGGAGUGCAGGAGGGGCAGGCGGAAUGCGUGGUGUAGCGGUGAAAUGCGUAGAUAUUAGGAAGAACACCGGUGGCGAAGGCGGCUUUCUGGACUGAAACUGACGCUGAGGCACGAAAGCGUGGGGAGCGAACAGGAUUAGAUACCCCAGUAGUC
Molecule: ribosomal RNA, 440 nt
Filed under: uncultured bacterium
Lineage: Bacteria
Description: partial 16S ribosomal RNA
Rfam family: Bacterial small subunit ribosomal RNA
Source: RNAcentral